This is a long non-coding RNA of Phyllostomus discolor (pale spear-nosed bat), 632 nucleotides long. RefSeq lists it as uncharacterized. The record is from RefSeq and is a predicted model, not a curated record. The transcript is spliced from 3 exons. Lineage: Eukaryota; Metazoa; Chordata; Mammalia; Chiroptera; Phyllostomidae.
CAAAUGUGGGCGGACUUAUAAGCACGUGACCCAAGUCUUGUAGUGCAGUCUUGUAUCAGCUGUCAUAGCGGCCCCAGCUGUGCGGCCACUAGUAACUAAGAUCGGCCCGCGACAUUUGUCUGGUGGCUUCGUGUUUUUACUACGUGCCAGAAUUUCAUUUACAAUUAACGAAACUGAGGCCAGGAGAGGAGGAGACUUGCCCAGAGUCGCUCAAGGUGUAGGGUAUGAUGUAAAUUCACUUCUAAGGGAGUGGAGCUGUCGUCUGUCACCGACCCUUUCUUAAUGGGGUCUUGGACAAAGGGCAGGGCUUCUCUGAACCUGUUUGCUCCUCGCUACUGUCUGUUGGAAUUUUCUGCACGCUUCCUUCAGCGAGUGCGGUGCUUCCUUCUCCCGGCGGCGGAGGGCGGCCAGCUCUGGACUCCGAGGACACCGAGUCCCCUGAUAGAUGAUGCGCUGCCCGGACUGGCCCACCCUCCCCUGGCUGACCGCCGCCCAGGCUCGCUAGGUCCCUGCGUAGGAGGCAGCAGGCCCAGAGAGGAAGAAGUGGUGCCCAGUGACCGAGCCCCAGAGGAGGGGCCAGAGUACAGGUGACUUGGAGGUGCUGGCCACUCUGCCCAGGCACAGUACUGGCA